GUGCACCAGUCGCGAAAACUCCGCAAUACGCGAAAGCGUGACGGGGCCAUCCCGAGUGCCGUCCGCUUAGGAUGGCUUUUCUCUAGUGUAAAUAGCUGGGGGAAUAAGGAGAGGGCAAGUCUGGUGUCAGCCGCCGCGGUAAUACCAGCUCUUCGAGUGGUAGGGAUGUUUAUUGGGCCUGAAGCAUCCGUAGCCGGCUGGGCAAGUCCUCCGUUAAAUCCAGCGAUUCAAUCGUUGGAUUGCGAGGGAUACCGUUCGGCUAGGGAGCGAGAGAGGCCAGCGGUAUUCCCGGGGUAGGGGUGAAAUCCUAUAAUCCCGGGAAGACCACCAGUGGCGAAGGCGGUUGGCUAGAAC
This 354-nucleotide ribosomal RNA is filed under the name uncultured crenarchaeote. RNAcentral's name for it is "partial 16S ribosomal RNA". It matches the Rfam family "Archaeal small subunit ribosomal RNA", at positions 330 to 686 of the family's 1478-position model. Lineage: Archaea; Thermoproteati; Thermoproteota. The record is from RNAcentral.